CUUUUUUUUUUUAAAAACUUAAAACUCUUUUUUUUUUAUUUUGUGUUUCCAGCCCCCCCUUUUUUUUAAAGAAAACAGAAAGUUUUUUUGCUUUCUCUCCUUCCCCUUUUCUCCUCCAUUUCUCUCUUUUUAGCUAGGGCUUCAUACCCAUCAUCGCCGCCGCCGUUAAGGCCACCAUGGACGGUGGUUGAAGGCAUGUGAAAAGGAGGGUUUUUCACCUCCGUUUAAAGAGUUUGAAAACCGAGCCUCCUCAAAACCCCCCUCAAAAAAACGAUAUAUGAAAGAAAGGCCCCUUUUUCUUUCUUGAAAUCGACUUCAGCGAUGGAGAGGAGAACUCCAAUGGCCGACCACGGGGCGUUCGGGGUAUAGGAGUGUCAGACGCGUGGAGCGUGGUGACCAAGGCUGAGGGGCAUGCGUGGGGCGUGGUGGCCAAGGUUGAGGGGUAUGCGGCGGCUGAAGGUCUUGGUACCUAAGGUUGGUUGCUGAAAAAUUUUAGGAUAUUGGGCUAGUUGAGUUUUUAGGGUUUUAAUUUUUUUGGUCUAUAAUUGGGUUGAUAACUUUGUUUGUAAAUGGACUUUUAAUUUAGACUAUUUUAUUUGUGUUUAUUUAUCUGGGCCAAAAUUGGCUACUACAAUCAUUCAUUAAAA
Molecule: long non-coding RNA, 647 nt
Organism: Gossypium arboreum
Lineage: Eukaryota; Viridiplantae; Streptophyta; Magnoliopsida; Malvales; Malvaceae
Exons: 2
Source: RefSeq, a predicted model, not a curated record